AGAGUUUGAUCCUGGCUCAGAAUCAACGCUGGCGGCGUGCCUAACACAUGCAAGUCGCNNGAGAAAGGGGAGCAAUCCCUGAGUAAAGUGGCGCACGGGUGAGUAACACGUGAAUCAUCUACCUCCGAAUGGGGAAUAACCUAGAGAAAUCUGGGCUAAUACCGCAUAACACUUACGAGUCAAAGCAGCAAUGCGCUUGGAGAGGAGUUCGCGGCCGAUUAGCUAGUUGGCGGGGUAAUGGCCCACCAAGGCGAUGAUCGGUAUCCGGCCUGAGAGGGCGCACGGACACACUGGAACUGAAACACGGUCCAGACUCCUACGGGAGGCAGCAGUGGGGAAUUUUGCGCAAUGGGGGAAACCCUGACGCAGCAACGCCGCGUGGAGGAUGAAAUAUCUUGGUAUGUAAACUCCUUUCGAUGGGGAAGAUUAUGACGGUACCCAUAGAAGAAGCCCCGGCUAACUUCGUGCCAGCAGCCGCGGUAAUACGAGGGGGGCAAGCGUUGUUCGGAUUUAUUGGGCGUAAAGGGUGCGUAGGCGGUUUGGCAAGUCUUAUGUGAAAUCUUCGGGCUCAACCCGAAGCCUGCAUAAGAAACUGCCGGGCUUGAGUGUGGGAGAGGUGAGUGGAAUUUCCGGUGUAGCGGUGAAAUGCGUAGAUAUCGGAAGGAACACCUGUGGCGAAAGCGGCUCACUGGACCAUAACUGACGCUGAUGCACGAAAGCUAGGGGAGCAAACAGGAUUAGAUACCCCAGUAGUCC
RNAcentral lists this ribosomal RNA (756 nucleotides) under uncultured bacterium. RNAcentral describes it as "bacterial SSU rRNA". It matches the Rfam family "Bacterial small subunit ribosomal RNA", at positions 8 to 796 of the family's 1533-position model. The record is from RNAcentral.